RNAcentral lists this ribosomal RNA (406 nucleotides) under uncultured Paracoccaceae bacterium. RNAcentral describes it as "bacterial SSU rRNA". It matches the Rfam family "Bacterial small subunit ribosomal RNA", at positions 355 to 774 of the family's 1533-position model. The record is from RNAcentral. Lineage: Bacteria; Pseudomonadati; Pseudomonadota; Alphaproteobacteria; Rhodobacterales; Paracoccaceae.
UGGGGAAUCUUAGACAAUGGGCGCAAGCCUGAUCUAGCCAUGCCGCGUGAUCGAUGAAGGCCUUAGGGUUGUAAAGAUCUUUCAGGUGGGAAGAUAAUGACGGUACCACCAGAAGAAGCCUCGGCUAACUACGUGCCAGCAGCCGCGGUAAUACGUAGGAUCCAAGCGUUGUCCGGAUUUACUGGGUGUAAAGGGUGCGCAGGCGGACUUGUUAGUCAGAGGUGAAAUCUCACGGCUCAACCGUGAAACUGCCUUUGAUACUGCAGGUCUUGAAUUGGGGAGAGAGUUGUGAAAUUCCGAGUGUAGCAGUGAAAUGUGUAGAUAUUCGGAAGAACACCAGUGGCGAAGGGCAGCAACUUUUGGCCCUUAUAUUGACGCUCAGGCACGAAAGCAUGGGGAUCAAACA